This 45-nucleotide non-coding RNA is filed under the name Schistosoma mansoni. The record is from RNAcentral. Lineage: Eukaryota; Metazoa; Platyhelminthes; Trematoda; Strigeidida; Schistosomatidae.
AUCCAUCUGACGAGUCCCAAAUUGGACGAAAUGCCCGUCAUGGAU